UGCAGACAAGCGCAGGGUUUGUAGAGGUCACCGGCAACGGUGGCAGCCCGAAUGGGUGGGAUCCUCGAACCUGGGGUCUGCAUGAGU
RNAcentral lists this non-coding RNA (87 nucleotides) under unclassified sequences. Its description in RNAcentral is "DUF3800-VII RNA". It matches the Rfam family "DUF3800-VII RNA". The record is from Rfam by way of RNAcentral.